Molecule: ribosomal RNA, 93 nt
Filed under: Foraminifera environmental sample
Lineage: Eukaryota; Foraminifera
Description: partial Eukaryotic small subunit ribosomal RNA
Source: RNAcentral
CUUUACAAUGAAGAACGAAGGUUGGGGGAUCAAAGAGGAUCAGAUACCCUCGUCGUCCCAUUAAUUACAUCAAACGAUGGGCUCUCAAUUGCA